GGGAAUCUUGGUCAAUGGGCGCAAGCCUGAACCAGCGCCGCCGCGUGAGUGAUGAAGGCCUUCGGGUUGUAAAGCUCUGUGGGGAGAGACGAAAGAAUCGGUUCUAACAGGACAGAAGUUGACGGUAUCUCCUUAGCAAGCACCGGCUAACUCUGUGCCCGCAGCCGCGGUAAGACAGAGGGUGCAAACGUUGCUCGGAACCACUGGGCGUAAAGGGCGUGUAGGCGGACAAGUAAGUCGGGCGUGAAAUCCCCAGGCUCAACCUGGGAACUGCACUCGAAACUGCGUGUCUUGAGUGCCGGAGAGGAAAGCGGAAUACCUGGUGUAGAGGUGAAAUUCGUAGAUAUCAGGUGGAACACCAGUGGCGAAGGCGGCUUUCUGGACGGUAACUGACGCUGAGACGCGAAAGCGUGGGGAGCAAAC
RNAcentral lists this ribosomal RNA (423 nucleotides) under uncultured bacterium. Its description in RNAcentral is "bacterial SSU rRNA". It matches the Rfam family "Bacterial small subunit ribosomal RNA", at positions 357 to 773 of the family's 1533-position model. The record is from RNAcentral.